This 484-nucleotide ribosomal RNA is filed under the name uncultured bacterium. RNAcentral's name for it is "partial 16S ribosomal RNA". It matches the Rfam family "Bacterial small subunit ribosomal RNA", at positions 28 to 507 of the family's 1533-position model. The record is from RNAcentral.
AUUGAACGCUGGCGGCAUGCUUUACACAUGCAAGUCGAACGGCAGCGCGGGCUUCGGCCUGGCGGCGAGUGGCGAACGGGUGAGUAAUGCAUCGGAACGUGCCCAGUAGUGGGGGAUCGCCCGGCGAAAGCCGGAUUAAUACCGCAUACGACCUGAGGGUGAAAGCGGGGGACCGAAAGGCCUCGCGCUAUUGGAGCGGCCGAUGUCGGAUUAGCUAGUUGGUGGGGUAAAGGCUUACCAAGGCGACGAUCCGUAGCUGGUCUGAGAGGACGACCAGCCACACUGGGACUGAGACACGGCCCAGACUCCUACGGGAGGCAGCAGUGGGGAAUUUUGGACAAUGGGGGCAACCCUGAUCCAGCCAUGCCGCGUGCGAGAAGAAGGCCUUCGGGUUGUAAACCGCUUUUGUUCGGGAAGAAAUCCUCUGGGCUAAUACCCCGGGGGGAUGACGGUACCGGAAGAAUAAGCACCGGCUAACUACGUG